GUCCGCCCGGGGCUCACGGGGGCCCGGGACGGCCGCUGGUUGGCUCGCGCGCCGCCCUCGCCUCCAAUCCCCGGUGCCUGCCCUAAUUUCCUGAUCUGGGGAACCUGCCGCCCGCCGCAGCAGCUGCGCGCUCCCUACGGUCGUGACUGUACCCGCCCGGCAGCCGUGACCGUGAAUGCAGCGGCGGCGGCAGUGGUUAGCGCUGAUGCAACUAUUGCUGCUAUUGCCACCGCCUUCCCGCUAACAGGCUGGCAGCCGGGGGGACACGCAGCUUCCGAGGGCAACGCGCAUCCCCGUCUGUCUCUCCCACCCUCCGCUGCGCCCCAGAGAGGCCGGUGCCGAGAGGCUGGCCCUGUACACGAGUAAAUGGGGCAGCAGAGGUAAUCCUCAAGCCGGGAGUUUGAAGCACCAUUACUGCGUUUUCUACCCUCUGGCUGUGCCACAGCGAGAAGUGAAGUGAACGUUCCCCUUUCAAGGGAUUCUGUAACUUCUGGGGCCUCUGCUGUAUCCUUUUCUGAUUGAGUGACAGGCCAGUGACGUGCGUGGGAUUCACCCCCUUCCCAGGGCCUGAUGGUCAUGAACUCUAGCUUCUGUCAGAUAGCACCUAGGCCCCGCCCCGGACUUCCUGUUUCAGCAGGUCUGGGACGGGGCCUGAAGACUGGUAUUUGCGUCACUGUCCCAGCUUGUGCUGAGGCACUAGUCAGGGAACACACUUCGAGAACCAGUAUUGUAAACCCCUCAACGUAACUUACUCCCCGCCCUGCCCUCAGCCACUGUGAUCGAUUCAAGGCCCUCAACCAGUCAGCCCAUGGCCUUCUGGCCACACUGCUGGGAUGCUUGAGCCCUAAGCGUAUGACUCUGGUCUGUCCACUUACAGUGAAGUUCGGGACUUGGGCUUGGUUAGAAAGGCACCGUUUUGAAGCAACGUGGUGUAUGGACAUUUGGCCGGAACUUGUAGAGUCCUUGGGCCACAGAGAAGGAAGCCAAUUUGAAGGCCGACUGACUCGUGGAGAGGAGGAGGCUCAGAGAAGCAGAGAGAUGGCGCCCAACCUUGACCUCCAGCCUGAGCCGACUAGGACUCCGUAGGACUUCUCACUUACCUGAGCCAAUAAAUUCCCUUUGUUGCAUAA
This is a long non-coding RNA of Suricata suricatta (meerkat), 1130 nucleotides long. RefSeq lists it as uncharacterized. The transcript is spliced from 2 exons. The record is from RefSeq and is a predicted model, not a curated record. NCBI's taxonomy places the organism in Eukaryota, Metazoa, Chordata, Mammalia, Carnivora, Herpestidae.